Molecule: ribosomal RNA, 911 nt
Filed under: uncultured archaeon
Lineage: Archaea
Description: bacterial SSU rRNA
Rfam family: Archaeal small subunit ribosomal RNA
Source: RNAcentral
UUGAUCCUGCCGGAGGCUACUGCUAUCGGGGUCCGACUAAGCCAUGCGAGUUGAGAGGGGUAAGCCCUCGGCAUAUUGCUCAGUAACACGCGGAUAACCUGCCCUUGGGUCUGGGAUAACCCCGGGAAACUGGGACUAAUACCGGAUAGAUCAAAGAAACUGGAAUGUUCUCUGGUCUAAAACUCUGGUGCCCAAGGAUGGGUCUGCGGCCUAUCAGGUAGUAGUGGGUGUAACGUACCUACUAGCCUACGACGGGUAAGGGUUGUGAGAGCAAGAGCCCUGAGAUGGAUUCUGAGACAUGAAUCCAGGCCCUACGGGGUGCAGCAGGCGCGAAAACUUUACACUGCGGGAAACCGCGAUAAGGGGACCCCGAGUGCCAGCACCUAGUGCUGGCUGUCCAGCUGUCCAAAUAACAGUUGUUAGCAAGGGCCGGGCAAGACCGGUGCCAGCCGCCGCGGUAACACCGGCGGCCCGAGUGGUAGCCGUUAUUAUUGGGUUUAAAGGGUCCGUAGCCGGCCUAUUAAGUCUCUUGGGAAAUCUGGCGACUUAAUCGUCAGGCGUCCAAGAGAUACUGGUAGGCUUGGGACCGGGAGAGGUGGGAGGUACUCCAGGGGUAGGGGUGAAAUCUCGUAAUCCUUGGGGGACCACCGAUGGCGAAGGCAUCCCACCAGAACGGGUCCGACGGUGAGGGACGAAAGCUGGGGGCACGAACCGGAUUAGAUACCCGGGUAGUCCCAGCUGUAAACGAUGCUCGCUAGGUGUCACGUGCGGUGCGACCGCAUCUGGUGCCGCAGUGAAAACUUGAAGCGAGUCACCUGGGAAGUACGGUCGCAAGGCUGAAACUUAAAAGGAAUUGGCGGGGGAGCACUACAACGGGGUGGAGCCUGCGGUUCAAUUGGAUUCAACGCCGG